Molecule: ribosomal RNA, 319 nt
Filed under: uncultured eukaryote
Lineage: Eukaryota
Description: partial 18S ribosomal RNA
Rfam family: Eukaryotic small subunit ribosomal RNA
Source: RNAcentral
CCCUUAGAUGUUCUGGGCAGCACGCGCGCUACAAUGGUCUUCGCAAACGGAUGCAUUCUCGAAGGAGAAUGCCAAUCUUGGAAUCUAUGCCUUGGUCGGGACAGUUGCUUGCAAUUUUUCGACUCGAACCAGGAAUUCCUUGUAAUCGUGAUUCAUCACAUCACGAUGAAUACGUCCCUGCCCUUUGUACACACCGCCCGUCGCUCCUACCGAUCGAAGAGUUAGGUAAAUUGUUUUGAUCGAUAAGAUUUGACUAUGGUCAACUCUCGUUGUGAAAUUCUGUGAAUCUGACUGUUUAGAGGAAGGAAAAGUCGUAACA